GCCUUAGAGUUUGAUCAUGGCUCAGGAUGAACGCUAGCUACAGGCUUAACACAUGCAAGUCGAGGGGCAGCAUGAACUUAGCUUGCUAAGUUUGAUGGCGACCGGCGCACGGGUGAGUAACACGUAUCCAACCUGCCGAUGACUCGGGGAUAGCCUUUCGAAGGAAAGAUUAAUACCCGAUGGCAUAGUUCUUCCGCAUGGUAGAACUAUUAAAGAAUUUCGGUCAUCGAUGGGGAUGCGUUCCAUUAGGUUGUUGGCGGGGUAACGGCCCACCAAGCCUUCGAUGGAUAGGGGUUCUGAGAGGAAGGUCCCCCACAUUGGAACUGAGACACGGUCCAAACUCCUACGGGAGGCAGCAGUGAGGAAUAUUGGUCAAUGGACGAGAGUCUGAACCAGCCAAGUAGCGUGAAGGAUGACUGCCCUAUGGGUUGUAAACUUCUUUUAUACGGGAAUAAAGUGAGGCACGCGUGCCUUUUUGUAUGUACCGUAUGAAUAAGGAUCGGCUAACUCCGUGCCAGCAGCCGCGGUAAUACGGAGGAUCCGAGCGUUAUCCGGAUUUAUUGGGUUUAAAGGGAGCGUAGGCGGACGCUUAAGUCAGUUGUGAAGGUUUGCGGCUCAACCGUAAAAUUGCAGUUGAUACUGGGUGUCUUGAGUACAGUAGAGGCAGGCGGAAUUCGUGGUGUAGCGGUGAAAUGCUUAGAUAUCACGAAGAACUCCGAUUGCGAAGGCAGCUUGCUGGACUGUAACUGACGCUGAUGCUCGAAAGUGUGGGUAUCAAACAGGAUUAGAUACCCUGGUAGUCCACACAGUAAACGAUGAAUACUCGCUGUUUGCGAUAUACAGUAAGCGGCCAAGCGAAAGCGUUAAGUAUCCACCUGG
Molecule: ribosomal RNA, 879 nt
Filed under: uncultured Bacteroidota bacterium
Lineage: Bacteria; Pseudomonadati; Bacteroidota
Description: bacterial SSU rRNA
Rfam family: Bacterial small subunit ribosomal RNA
Source: RNAcentral